AUAGUAUUCCCUCCAUCCCAAAAUUCUUGUCUUAUAUUUGCUUAGAUACGGAUGUAUCUAACACUAAAAUGUAACUAGAUACGUCCAUAUUUAGACAAAUUUAAGACAAGAAUUUGGGGACGGAGGGAGUACAAA
Non-coding RNA from Triticum aestivum (bread wheat), 135 nucleotides. The record is from Rfam. NCBI's taxonomy places the organism in Eukaryota, Viridiplantae, Streptophyta, Magnoliopsida, Poales, Poaceae.